GCAAGUCGAGGGGCAGCAUUACCUUCUUGUAGCUCGCUACCGGCGCACGGGCGCGUAACUCGUAUGUAACCUACCACUCACAUAGGGAUAGCCUCCAGAAAUAGCGAUUAAUACUUACUGGCAUCUAAGUCUUGCAUGAUAUAAGAUUAAAGAUUUAUCGGUGUUAGAUGGGCAUGCGUGAGAUUAGCUAGUUGGUGAGGUAACGGCUUACCAAGGCGACGAUGUCUAGGGGGUCUGAGAGGAUGACC
This 248-nucleotide ribosomal RNA is filed under the name uncultured bacterium. RNAcentral describes it as "partial 16S ribosomal RNA". It matches the Rfam family "Bacterial small subunit ribosomal RNA", at positions 57 to 305 of the family's 1533-position model. The record is from RNAcentral.